Molecule: unclassified non-coding RNA, 279 nt
Filed under: plant metagenome
Description: partial contains small subunit ribosomal RNA, internal transcribed spacer 1, and 5.8S ribosomal RNA
Source: RNAcentral
UUUCCGUAGGUGAACCUGCGGAAGGAUCAUUAACGUACAAUAUGUGAUGGACAUGCCAGUUCUGUCCCUGACCCAAAAGUCGUGCACGCCCUAGUGUGUCCUCUUGCAGAAAAAUCCCUCUCAACCUCUUUGCAUCACCGCGGGUACACCCUUUGAGAUCAUCUCGUAGAGGGGCUCGCGUGUACACACAAACCCCCCUCUUAAAUGUAUAAAAAGACCACAUUAAUGCAAUCAAUACAACUUUCAACAACGGAACCCUUGCCUCUCGCAUCGGUGAAG